GUCUAUGGCCAUGCCACCCUGAACAAGUCCAAUGUCUGAUCUCGGAAGCUAAGCAGGGUCGGGCCUGGAUGCGACUUGGAUGAGAGACCACCUAGGAAGACAAGGUGCUGUCGGCA
RNAcentral lists this ribosomal RNA (116 nucleotides) under Pteropus alecto (black flying fox). The record is from RNAcentral. Lineage: Eukaryota; Metazoa; Chordata; Mammalia; Chiroptera; Pteropodidae.